Molecule: small nucleolar RNA, 109 nt
Organism: Brassica napus (rape)
Lineage: Eukaryota; Viridiplantae; Streptophyta; Magnoliopsida; Brassicales; Brassicaceae
Source: RefSeq, a predicted model, not a curated record
UAACCAUGGUGAGGGCAGUCCUGUGUGUACUCCUUGAAACGCUCCCAAGCCUCAUGAAAGCUUUCUGAAUCAAGCUGCUGAAAGCUUCCAAUUCUGCUCUUCUCAGAUA